UUCACACUGUGAGUGUGUGUUUUCAUUUGGCUUUUCAUUGUCCAGGUUUGCUGACUUGGAACAGCAGGGAAUACUUUUUAUACACUUUCCUGAAGCGUGAUGUGAGAGUGUAGAAAUAUUUUACUUCUCCUAUGAGAAAAGCUGGAAUAACAGAAGAAUUUUUGCUGUGAUGUCCUCCAGUCGUCCUCUGCUGAAAUCUAAGCAAUCGUGCUGAGGUGCAGAAGACAAAAGUUUCCCAUCAAGUGUAUGAAGAGCAAGAAAACAGCAAACUUAAUAACUUGCACUCCUCAUUGCUCACAUUUCCUGAAGAUUGCUGAGAUCAAGAAAGCCGUCAAGUGCUCCUUUGCAUUCAUGCUGAUGUGUGUAAAUCAACAGAACUGUGCUCAGUUUUCCCAGGAGACUGACUUUGAGUGCACAGCAUUCAGAAAGGGGCAGUGCAUGUACUUGGCUGCACAGAAAGUGGAGGGAGAUGGUCACGUGUUCAUCAGUCAGGAAAGAAAAGUGGAAGAGAAAUAGACACCUGAACAGCUGGAUACAGUUGCAUACACCCAGUAGGUGUAUAGUGGACAUUAUGGCCAUACCUUGAAUAACGUAAAU
Molecule: long non-coding RNA, 597 nt
Filed under: Phasianus colchicus (ring-necked pheasant)
Lineage: Eukaryota; Metazoa; Chordata; Aves; Galliformes; Phasianidae
Description: lncRNA (ENSPCLG00000006527.1)
Source: RNAcentral